RNAcentral lists this ribosomal RNA (253 nucleotides) under uncultured bacterium. RNAcentral's name for it is "partial 16S ribosomal RNA". It matches the Rfam family "Bacterial small subunit ribosomal RNA", at positions 524 to 776 of the family's 1533-position model. The record is from RNAcentral.
UACGGAGGGUGCAACCGUUGCUCGGAAUCAUUGGGCGUAAAGCGCGCGUAGGCGGCGAAGCAAGUUGGAUGUGAAAGCCCUGGGCUCAACCUAGGAUGUGCAUACAAAACUGCUUCGCUUGAAUCUCGGAGGGGGUCAGGGAAUUCCCGGUGUAGAGGUGAAAUUCGUAGAUAUCGGGAGGAACACCAGUGGCGAAGGCGCUGACCUGGACGAUGAUUGACGCUGAGGCGCGAAAGCGUGGGGAGCAAACAGG